RNAcentral lists this ribosomal RNA (497 nucleotides) under uncultured bacterium. Its description in RNAcentral is "partial 16S ribosomal RNA". It matches the Rfam family "Bacterial small subunit ribosomal RNA", at positions 28 to 507 of the family's 1533-position model. The record is from RNAcentral.
GAUGAACGCUGGCGGCGUGCCUAAUACAUGCAAGUCGAGCGAACAGACGAGGAGCUUGCCCCUCUGACGUUAGCGGCGGACGGGUGAGUAACACGUGGAUAACCUACCUAUAAGACUGGGAUAACUUCGGGAAACCGGAGCUAAUACCGGAUAAUAUAUUGAACCGCAUGGUUCAAUAGUGAAAGACGGUUUUGCUGUCACUUAUAGAUGGAUCCGCGCCGCAUUAGCUAGUUGGUAAGGUAACGGCUUACCAAGGCAACGAUGCGUAGCCGACCUGAGAGGGUGAUCGGCCACACUGGAACUGAGACACGGUCCAGACUCCUACGGGAGGCAGCAGUAGGGAAUCUUCCGCAAUGGGCGAAAGCCUGACGGGGCAACGCCGCGUGAGUGAUGAAGGUCUUCGGAUCGUAAAACUCUGUUAUUAGGGAAGAACAAAUGUGUAAGUAACUAUGCACGUCUUGACGGUACCUAAUCAGAAAGCCACGGCUAACUACGUG